UGGGGAAUUUUGGACAAUGGGCGAAAGCCUGAUCCAGCAAUGCCGCGUGUGUGAAGAAGGCCUUCGGGUUGUAAAGCACUUUUGUCCGGAAAGAAAUCCUUGGCUCUAAUACAGUCGGGGGAUGACGGUACCGGAAGAAUAAGCACCGGCUAACUACGUGCCAGCAGCCGCGGUAAUACGUAGGGUGCAAGCGUUAAUCGGAAUUACUGGGCGUAAAGCGUGCGCAGGCGGUUUGCUAAGACCGAUGUGAAAUCCCCGGGCUCAACCUGGGAACUGCAUUGGUGACUGGCAGGCUAGAGUAUGGCAGAGGGGGGUAGAAUUCCACGUGUAGCAGUGAAAUGCGUAGAGAUGUGGAGGAAUACCGAUGGCGAAGGCAGCCCCCUGGGCCAAUACUGACGCUCAUGCACGAAAGCGUGGGGAGCAAACAGGAUUAGAUACCCUGGUAGUCCACGCCCUAAAACGAUGUCAACUAGUUGUUGGGGAUUCAUUUCCUAGUAACGUAGCUAACGCGUGAAGUUGACCGCCUGGGGAGUACGGUCGCAAGAUUAAAACUUAAAUGAAUUGACGGGGUCAUAGCUGUUUCCU
Molecule: ribosomal RNA, 585 nt
Filed under: uncultured bacterium
Lineage: Bacteria
Description: partial 16S ribosomal RNA
Rfam family: Bacterial small subunit ribosomal RNA
Source: RNAcentral